Non-coding RNA from Puma concolor (puma), 400 nucleotides. NCBI's taxonomy places the organism in Eukaryota, Metazoa, Chordata, Mammalia, Carnivora, Felidae. The record is from RefSeq and is a predicted model, not a curated record.
CCUCCCCCUGCUGCAGGGCCGCCAGGGGCCGAGGACAGAGAGACUCUGUCAGGCCGUGACCACUGGGGGCCAGGCCCUUGGCCAGUCAGGAGCAGCACAGUCCUCAGGAUCUGGGACAUGAGCGACGACGAGACGGUCUGAUGCGUCCCACCCUCGUGUGGCUGGCUUCUCCCUGGCUGCCUGUGGAGGACUUCUCUGUUGCCUGAAUGCGACUGCCACCUCCAGGAUAGGUGACUCUGGGCCCUGCGCCCCUCCCAUCUUUCUGGUCCCCUCCUCUGCAUACCUUGAGGACCAGGGCCCCCUCUCCACUGCCCAGGAGCUUCUGGGGUUCUCCAUUUCUCCUGAUUCAUGAUCCCGCCAGUUCUGAGCUAAAUAAUAACCUUGGCUUUGGCAUUGCCAC